This 354-nucleotide unclassified non-coding RNA is filed under the name rhizosphere metagenome. Its description in RNAcentral is "partial ribosomal RNA internal transcribed spacer region". The record is from RNAcentral.
GUAGGUGAACCUGCGGAAGGAUCAUUAAACGCGACUCGCCUACUAUCGUGUUCAGCAAUCUAGUAAAUCAUUGUUAAACAGCUUUUAUAGGGACUUCUGCCACGGGGCGUGGUGACCUGGAGACCUGGUCGCCGGCCGUGUCGGCCUACAGCGAGCGUUGUUCUACGACACCCUUACACAAUCAAAGACACUGACAGACUUUGAUUGUGCAGCGGGUACCAGGUCGCUGCUCUGCCCUCAAACCUACAAAAUCUUUCGACAAGUUAAUUACCCCACUUCUAAAACUGCGGUCGCGUUAAUUCUGACGAUCGAAAAAACUUUGAACAACUGUUAACAAUGGAUAUCUUGGUUCUC